UAUAUAAAUCAAUCUUUUCGAAAAUUAUUAAUCUCGAAAAUUAACUUGUACAAGUUCUAAUUCUGAUAAAUAUAUUAAUGUUCUUGAAAAAGCGUAACUUAUAUUCCAUUAUUUAAAAAAAAUUAAAAAAUUAAAAAUUAAAAAAAAAAAUGGAACUCCAAUCUUGAGAGCUCACACGGCCCCAACACUAAAGCAUCGUGAGAGAAGUAAAUCACAAAAUAUUCUUCAACAGGUGAGGGAACAAAAGCUUAUCCGUACACUGGUACCCACAAAGAAUCCAAUUCUAUAUCUCAAAAAUCGAACCCUCACAUUGCCGCUACCAAUAAGGUUGAAAUUACCCCACUCCUGUCCUUUGUAACACUUGAUUAUGCCCCGACAGACUUAUAUUCCAUUAUUUUAGAAGAUUGGGUGGUGGUGUCGUAGCAUAACUUUGAACUAGCCAAUAUACUUCUCUCUUCUAGCUAGAUUUCCAAAAACAAGCUACUCAACCAAAAAUAUUUCAUCACCAGCAACCAAGCUCUAUAUGUCUCCACGGGAGGAAAACUAAUGCAAUUUCAUUUAUACAUUGAACGACGGAAAGUUUGAGUUUUGGUACAGUCAAGUAUUUGCAUUUUAUUCAUAAACAUGACAUUCAAGUGAUCUUCAUUCACCAAGGAACUAGAAUGCUAUAAUUUC
RNAcentral lists this long non-coding RNA (675 nucleotides) under Olea europaea subsp. europaea. The record is from RNAcentral. Lineage: Eukaryota; Viridiplantae; Streptophyta; Magnoliopsida; Lamiales; Oleaceae.